This 72-nucleotide transfer RNA is filed under the name Dipodomys ordii (Ord's kangaroo rat). It matches the Rfam family "tRNA". Rfam says of the family: Transfer RNA (tRNA) molecules are approximately 80 nucleotides in length. Lineage: Eukaryota; Metazoa; Chordata; Mammalia; Rodentia; Heteromyidae. The record is from Rfam by way of RNAcentral.
AGAGCUGUGGCUCAGCAGUAGAGUAUCUGCCUAGCAAGCUCAAGGCCCUGAGUUCAAACCUCAGUAACCUUC